This 24-nucleotide unclassified non-coding RNA is filed under the name Drosophila melanogaster (fruit fly). RNAcentral describes it as "piRNA piR-dme-7989012". The record is from RNAcentral. Lineage: Eukaryota; Metazoa; Arthropoda; Insecta; Diptera; Drosophilidae. RNAcentral also lists the same sequence under 1 other name.
UUAAUGCGGUAGUUUAUCACAGUU